GUGUUGUGCACCGAUAUUGUAUAAGCAGCUGCCGAAGGGCAAGCGCUGUUCUCUGUUUACCAGUUCCAGUUCGUUUGUUGACAUUUUGUUAGAAUAAUUUGCGAGCAGGCUCUCACCAUUAAUACUUUCAGAACUCGUAUCAGAAUCUUCUCAACGCAUAAAAGUGUGAAGUUGUAGCUAUUUUGAUCUGCAAACCCCUUCUUGGCAGGCUUGGCUUUUGGCAGUGAAGGAUUUUCCAGAUUUCUAACUGAAAUACGCGAUGGAAUUACGAAACACUCUCAGUGCAUGUGUGCGUGUGUGGGUCUUUGUAGUUGUACAAGUAUGUCUGUUUGUAUUGGCAGCAACGGUAAGCUGUCAUGUUCACCUUAGGUGGUUGGUUGCUGCUCUGCUACGUUCGCUGUCACUGUCAGUGAGUUGUGAUAAGAUACGCGUAUCCGCCGUUGGGGACGGUCUGCGCGGAAAAAGUGAGCGCUUAUCAGACGCCACGAAUGUACCGCAUCACAUUCUGUUGGCUUGCACUUAAAAAUUAGUGCAAAGAAGAAGUCAACUCUAUCAAAUAUAGAAUAUAGAAUGUAGAAACAAAUAUUACUUCUAUUUCUAAAGUCUGCCAAAUAUCAUCAGAUGAAUUAAGCUUUCGAACGGUUUUUGCUCGGCCGAGCGUAGAUUGUUGGAUUCUAUUAAAAAGUUAAUUGCUACUUUAUUUUCUCACUUAAUUCGCUUCGCUCUCACUCUUCAUAAAGGUGAUACUUUAAGCUUGCUGCAAUUGCCGUAACUGUAAAUGGCUUAAAUACAUUAAGUACCCUGCGCGUCCAGAAGGGUGUGCAGUCAGUUGGCUUUCGUGGAUAUCACUUCUAAUUCGAUAAGUAGACAACUGCUUAUCAAACAAAGGUUCGAGUGCCGUCUAUUGUUUUGUGGCGGCUCUAAUAAAUCAAUGGGAAGACAGCGAAUUUUUUCGGAUCGACCAACAAAUGCGUAGAGCGCGAUUAUUGAGCAAUUUUAGACUUUAUCGCAAAAAUCUCAACCGGAAACAGAUAAUUGCGUUGCGACCACAAUAGUUGUUAUUUGAUGCCAGCAAGUGUAAGGCAUACCGUAAACCGCGGCAUUGUAUUACAGUGAAUCAGAGGGUAGAACCGUUCGUUCUCUUAUGUAUAUAUGAAUCCAAAGCCCAUUAAAACAUACUAAUUUUACUUAUUUUUUUUUAUUUUAUCAGAAAAGUUGUUUGUUGGUAGGAUCUAGUGACUUUUAAAAAGCUUAAGAGAAUUUUGCCAAAACUUAGAUAUUUAAGAUUUAAGUACGCUUAGUUAGUUGUCUGAAUUAAUAAAUAAUUUCCCUUGCUUAAGCAACGAUACAAAUACAGUGUGGUAUAUUACUUUAAAACAACUACGAUACUAUGAUAAUAGUAACUGUAAACCCAAUAUUAUAACUAUUACUAAUACAUUAUGUCAAAAUGUUUAUAAAUAUACUAACUCAAGAUUCAGCAAAUCAAAGAUUUUUUAAGAAU
Molecule: long non-coding RNA, 1501 nt
Organism: Zeugodacus cucurbitae (melon fly)
Lineage: Eukaryota; Metazoa; Arthropoda; Insecta; Diptera; Tephritidae
Exons: 2
Source: RefSeq, a predicted model, not a curated record